Molecule: transfer RNA, 75 nt
Filed under: Mycobacteroides chelonae
Lineage: Bacteria; Bacillati; Actinomycetota; Actinomycetes; Mycobacteriales; Mycobacteriaceae
Description: tRNA-Cys
Rfam family: tRNA
About the family: Transfer RNA (tRNA) molecules are approximately 80 nucleotides in length.
Source: RNAcentral
GGCGAAGUGAGUGAGUGGCUAGCUGGCAGGCUGCAACCCUGACCCACGCCGGUUCGAUCCCGGUCUUCGUCUCGA